UAUUAUCUUGACCAAGUAUUGCCAAUUCUCUUGAGGAGACAUGUUUUACAAUUGACAAAGUUUGACUACAGACUAGCAAAUGAUCUAGACGAAGACAUGCAAAAGUUGCGCUGCAGGGUCAACUAUCAUGCUUUAAGAUUCACAAAGCGGAUACAGUCAGUUGGGAUGAAAGUGGUCAAGAGGAUGAGAAAGAUGGCCAAACGUUUUAUUGCUGUCCACUUGAGAUUUGAGCCUGACAUGCUAGCCUUUUCUGGUU
This is a non-coding RNA of Camelina sativa (false flax), 256 nucleotides long. The record is from RefSeq and is a predicted model, not a curated record. NCBI's taxonomy places the organism in Eukaryota, Viridiplantae, Streptophyta, Magnoliopsida, Brassicales, Brassicaceae.